Molecule: long non-coding RNA, 429 nt
Filed under: Homo sapiens (human)
Lineage: Eukaryota; Metazoa; Chordata; Mammalia; Primates; Hominidae
Description: HSALNT0142759
Source: RNAcentral
UUUAUAUUCCUUUAUUUUGUGCAGAUGAUGAUGUAAAAGGCUGAACCAAAAAUAACAACUGAUCUUACAUACACCAUUCCUCUGCUGCAUUGGUAUAUCACAGCUGUGAUCUCCACAAGAAGCCAUCACUUAACUUGACUGGGUGAUUUUAAUCAAGUGACUACUCAGUAUGAUGAAGACGUUGAAAUGUCAUUGGCACAAAACUGCAAAAUGGUGUACAGUUUGGGCUAAUAGCAAAGGUUCUAGAAGAUGAUGCUGAAGGAGACAAAAGGAGGAAAGGAAGGAGCAUGGAAGUAUAACUUAGGUGGAGAGGAAUACAGGGUCUUUCAGGGGAGCAGUAGAAUCAGGUACAAGUAAGGAGCCUGGAGGUCAUCUGGUGCCUGGCCCAGGUGGGUAAAAGGUGACAUGUGGAACUCAAAAAAGGAAAAU